RNAcentral lists this ribosomal RNA (453 nucleotides) under uncultured bacterium. RNAcentral's name for it is "partial 16S ribosomal RNA". It matches the Rfam family "Bacterial small subunit ribosomal RNA", at positions 29 to 523 of the family's 1533-position model. The record is from RNAcentral.
AACGAACGCUGGCGGCAUGCCUAAUACAUGCAAGUCGAACGGAAUGGGGCAACCCAUUUAGUGGCGGACGGGUGAGUAACGCGUGGGAACCUGCCCAUCGGUACGGAAUAACCUCGGGAAACUGUGGCUAAUACCGUAUGCUCCCUUCGGGGGCAAGAUUUAUCGCCGGUGGAGGGGCCCGCGUCGGAUUAGGUAGUUGGUGAGGUAACGGCUCACCAAGCCUUCGAUCCGUAGCUGGUCUGAGAGGAUGAUCAGCCACACUGGGACUGAGACACGGCCCAGACUCCUACGGGAGGCAGCAGUAGGGAAUAUUGGACAAUGGGGGCAACCCUGAUCCAGCAAUGCCGCGUGAGUGAUGAAGGCCUUAGGGUUGUAAAGCUCUUUUGGCAGGGACGAUGAUGACGGUACCUGCAGAAUAAGCCCCGGCUAACUUCGUGCCAGCAGCCGCCGUAA